Non-coding RNA from Capra hircus (goat), 378 nucleotides. The record is from the annotation of a RefSeq genome assembly. NCBI's taxonomy places the organism in Eukaryota, Metazoa, Chordata, Mammalia, Artiodactyla, Bovidae.
AUGCCGCUCUCCAGUCUGCUCUGGGUAUUCCUGGCCUUCACCUUCUCUGGAUCUGGUGUGGCCCAGAAAGUUACUCAAGACCAGCCAGACAUAUCCAGUCAAGUUGGGGAGUCAGCCACCAUGAACUGUCAGUAUGAGACAAGUCAGAACAAUUAUAACAUUUUUUGGUAUAAGCAGCUUCCCAGUGGAGAGACGAUUUACCUUAUUGGUCAGAAUUCGUAUAGCCCGAAUGCAAGGGAUGGCCGCUACUCCAUAAAUUUUCAGAGAUCACGUAAAGCCAUCAGCCUCAUUAUCUCAGCCUUAAAGCUGGAAGACUCUGCAAAGUACUUCUGUGCUCUCUGGGAACUCACAGUGGUUGAAGUGAUAGGAAAACUUUGA